Molecule: ribosomal RNA, 466 nt
Filed under: Rothia dentocariosa
Lineage: Bacteria; Bacillati; Actinomycetota; Actinomycetes; Micrococcales; Micrococcaceae
Description: bacterial SSU rRNA
Rfam family: Bacterial small subunit ribosomal RNA
Source: RNAcentral
GACGAACGCUGGCGGCGUGCUUAACACAUGCAAGUCGAACGAUGAAGCCUAGCUUGCUAGGUGGAUUAGUGGCGAACGGGUGAGUAAUACGUGAGUGACCUAUCUUUGACUCUGGGAUAAGCCUGGGAAACUGGGUCUAAUACCGGAUACGACCAAUCUCCGCAUGGGGUGUUGGUGGAAAGCGUUAUGGAGUGGUUUUAGAUGGGCUCACGGCCUAUCAGCUUGUUGGUGAGGUAAUGGCUUACCAAGGCGACGACGGGUAGCCGGCCUGAGAGGGUGACCGGCCACACUGGGACUGAGACACGGCCCAGACUCCUACGGGAGGCAGCAGUGGGGAAUAUUGCACAAUGGGCGCAAGCCUGAUGCAGCGACGCCGCGUGAGGGAUGACGGCCUUCGGGUUGUAAACCUCUGUUAGCAUCGAAGAAGCGAAAGUGACGGUAGGUGCAGAGAAAGCGCCGCUAAUAC